RNAcentral lists this ribosomal RNA (1255 nucleotides) under uncultured organism. RNAcentral describes it as "bacterial SSU rRNA". It matches the Rfam family "Bacterial small subunit ribosomal RNA", at positions 81 to 1358 of the family's 1533-position model. The record is from RNAcentral.
GUAUUGGGUGGAAAGUGGCGAACGGGUGAGUAACACGUUGGUGACCUGCCCUGAGGAGGGGAAUAACCGUGGGAAACCACGGCUAAUACCCCGGAUGUCUAAGCUGUUAGAGGGCUUAGACUAAAGCCCCUGCAAGGGGUGCGCCUCGGGAGGGGCCUGCGGGCUAUCAGCUUGUUGGUGGGGUAAUGGCUUACCAAGGCGAAGACGGCUAGGGGGCGUGAGAGCGCGACCCCCCACAAUGGAACUGAGACACGGUCCAUACUCCUACGGGAGGCAGCAGUGAGGAAUAUUGCGCAAUGGGGGCAACCCUGACGCAGCAACGCCGCGUGGACGAUGAAGGCCUUCGGGUUGUAAAGUCCUUUUCUGAAGGAAGAUAGUGACGGUACUUCAGGAAUAAGUCCCGGCUAACUACGUGCCAGCAGCCGCGGUAAAACGUAGGGGGCGAGCGUUAUCCGGAUUUACUGGGCGUAAAGCGCACGUAGGCGGCAUCGUAAGUUGGACGUGAAAGCUCCCGGCUCAACUGGGAGAGGUCGUUCAAAACUGUGGUGCUUGAGGUUGAUAGAGGAGAGUGGAAUUCCCGGUGUAGUGGUGGAAUGCGUAGAUAUCGGGAGGAACACCAGUGGCGAAGGCGGCUCUCUAAGGUCACACCUGACGCUGAGGUGCGAAAGCGUGGGGAGCGAACGGGAUUAGAUACCCCGGUAGUCCACGCUGUAAACGAUGGAUACUAGGUGUGGGAGGUUAUUUACCCCUUCUGUGCCGUAGCUAACGCGUUAAGUAUCCCGCCUGGGGACUACGGCCGCAAGGUUAAAACUCAAAGGAAUUGACGGGGGCCCGCACAAGCAGCGGAGCGUGUGGUUUAAUUCGAUGAUACGCGAAGAACCUUACCUGGGCUUGACAUGGUGGUAGUAGUGAAGCGAAAGCGGAACGACCCUUCGGGGAGCCAUCACAGGUGCUGCAUGGCUGUCGUCAGCUCGUGUCGUGAGAUGUUGGGUUAAGUCCCGCAACGAGCGCAACCCUCGUCGCUAGUUAUAUGUGUCUAGUGAGACUGCCGGUAUCAAACCGGAGGAAGGUGGGGAUGACGUCAAGUCAGCAUGGUCUUUAUGUCCAGGGCUACACACACGCUACAAUGGCCGGUACAAUGGGUUGCCAUACCGCGAGGUGGAGCUAAUCCUCAAAGCCGGUCUCAGUUCGGAUUGCAGUCUGCAACUCGACUGCAUGAAGGUGGAGUUGCUAGUAACCGCGCGUCAGCAAUAGU